UCCGGUUUAACACCGGCGGUCUCCACAGAGUGCCCAACUUAAUGGUGGCAACUACGGAUAGGGGUUGCGCUCGUUGCGGGACUUAACCCAACAUUUCACAACACGAGCUGACGACAGCCAUGCAGCACCUGUCUCCACGUCUCUUGCGAGACAACGACAUCUCUGCCGUCUUCGUGGGAUGUCAAACCCAGGUAAGGUUCUGCGCGUUGCUUCGAAUUAAACCACAUACUCCACCGCUUGUGCGGGCCCCCGUCAAUUCCUUUGAGUUUCAGCCUUGCGGCCGUACUCCCCAGGCGGGAUACUUAAUGUGUGAACUUUGAUACUCAGAGGGUUAAUUCUCCAAACAUCUAGUAUCCAUCGUUUAUGGUGCGGACUAC
RNAcentral lists this unclassified non-coding RNA (377 nucleotides) under uncultured Oligoflexaceae bacterium. RNAcentral describes it as "contains 16S-23S intergenic spacer region". The record is from RNAcentral. Lineage: Bacteria; Pseudomonadati; Bdellovibrionota; Oligoflexia; Oligoflexales; Oligoflexaceae.